UACGUAGGGCGCGAGCGUUAUUCGGAAUUACUGGGCGUAAAGCGUGUGUAGGCGGUCUGUUAAGUCCGAUGUGAAAUCCCCGGGCUUAACCUGGGAACUGCAUUGGUGACUGGCAGGCUUUGAGUGUGGCAGAGGGAGGUAGAAUUCUACGUGUAGCAGUGAAAUGCGUAGAGAUGUGGAGGAAUACCGAUGGCGAAGGCAGCCUCCUGGGCCAACACUGACGCUCAUGCACGAAAGCGUGGGGAGCAAACAGG
Molecule: ribosomal RNA, 254 nt
Filed under: uncultured bacterium
Lineage: Bacteria
Description: partial 16S ribosomal RNA
Rfam family: Bacterial small subunit ribosomal RNA
Source: RNAcentral